RNAcentral lists this ribosomal RNA (253 nucleotides) under uncultured bacterium. RNAcentral describes it as "partial 16S ribosomal RNA". It matches the Rfam family "Bacterial small subunit ribosomal RNA", at positions 524 to 776 of the family's 1533-position model. The record is from RNAcentral.
UACGUAGGGUGCGAGCGUUGUCCGGAAUUAUUGGGCGUAAAGGGCUCGUAGGCGGUUUGUCGCGUCGGGAGUGAAAACCUUGGGCUUAACUCAGGGCUUGCUUUCGAUACGGGCAGACUAGAGGUAGGUAGGGGAGAAUGGAAUUCCCGGUGUAGCGGUGAAAUGCGCAGAUAUCGGGAGGAACACCGGUGGCGAAGGCGGUUCUCUGGGCCUUACCUGACGCUGAGGAGCGAAAGCGUGGGGAGCGAACAGG